UGGGUAACCUGCCUGUAAGACUGGGAUAACUCCGGGAAACCGGGGCUAAUACCGGAUGCUUGAUUGAACCGCAUGGUUCAAUCAUAAAAGGCGGCUUCGGCUGCCGUUUACAGAUGGACCCGCGGCGCAUUAGCUAGUUGGUGAGGUAACGGCUCACCAAGGCGACGAUGCGUAGCCGACCUGAGAGGGUGAUCGGCCACACUGGGACUGAGACACGGCCCAGACUCCUACGGGAGGCAGCAGUAGGGAAUCUUCCGCAAUGGACGAAAGUCUGACGGAGCAACGCCGCGUGAGUGAUGAAGGUUUUCGGAUCGUAGAGCUCUGUUGUUAGGGAAGAACAAGUACCGUUCGAAUAGGGCGGUACCUUGACGGUACCUAACCAGAAAGCCACGGCUAACUACGUGCCAGCAGCCGCGGUAAUACGUAGGUGGCAAGCGUUGUCCGGAAUUAUU
RNAcentral lists this ribosomal RNA (452 nucleotides) under Bacillus sp. CSu3_2. Its description in RNAcentral is "bacterial SSU rRNA". It matches the Rfam family "Bacterial small subunit ribosomal RNA", at positions 118 to 555 of the family's 1533-position model. The record is from RNAcentral. Lineage: Bacteria; Bacillati; Bacillota; Bacilli; Caryophanales; Bacillaceae.